RNAcentral lists this ribosomal RNA (572 nucleotides) under Sporobolomyces sp. ST-202. RNAcentral describes it as "eukaryotic LSU rRNA". It matches the Rfam family "Eukaryotic large subunit ribosomal RNA", at positions 62 to 625 of the family's 3401-position model. The record is from RNAcentral. Lineage: Eukaryota; Fungi; Basidiomycota; Microbotryomycetes; Sporidiobolales; Sporidiobolaceae.
AAACUAACAAAGGGAUUCCCCUAGUUAGCGGCGGAGCGAAAGCGGGGAAAAAGCUUCAAAUUUGUAAUUCUGGGCGUCUACCGACGUCCGAGUUGUAAUCUCGAGAAACGUUUCUCCGUGUUAGGCCGCAUACAAGUCUCUUGGAUACAGAGCGUCAUAGUGGUGAGAACCCAGUACACGAUGCGGAUGCCUAAUACUUUGUGAUACGUUUUCGAAGAGUCGAGUUGUUUGGGAAUGCAGCUCAAAUUGGGUGGUAAAUUCCAUCUAAAGCUAAAUAUUGGCGAGAGACCGAUAGCGAACAAGUACCGUGAGGGAAAGAUGAAAAGCACUUUGGAAAGAGAGUUAACAGUACGUGAAAUUGUUGGAAGGGGAACACAUGCAGUCAGACUUGCUAUUCGGGGCAACUCGAUUGGCAGGCCCGCAUCAGUUUUCGGGGAUGGAAAAUCGUAGAGAGAAGGUAGCAGCAUUCGGCUGUGCUAUAGCUCUUUACUGGAUUCAUCCUUGGGCUAUUGAGGAACGCAGCGUGCUUUUAGCAUGCAGCUUCGCUUAUCCACGCUUAACAUGCGGUCUGC